CAGCAGCCGCGGGAACACGAAGGGUGCAAGCGUUACUCGGAAUUACUGGGCGUAAAGCGUGCGUAGGUGGCGUGUUAAGUCGAAUGUGAAAGCCCCGGGCUCAACCUGGGAAUGGCAUCCGAUACUGGCAGGCUAGAGUUCGAUAGAGGGUAGUGGAAUUCCAGGUGUAGCGGUGAAAUGCGUAGAGAUCUGGAGGAACAUCAGUGGCGAAGGCGGCUACCUGGAUCAGAACUGACACUGAGGCACGAAAGCGUGGGGAGCAAACAGGAUUAGAUACCCCCGUAGUCCCUGUCUCUUAUAC
Molecule: ribosomal RNA, 301 nt
Filed under: uncultured bacterium
Lineage: Bacteria
Description: partial 16S ribosomal RNA
Rfam family: Bacterial small subunit ribosomal RNA
Source: RNAcentral